AAUCAACGCUGGCGGCGUGCCUCAGACAUGCAAGUCGAACGAGAAGGCUCCUUCGGGAGCCGGAAAGUGGCGCACGGGUGAGUAACACGUGGGUAAUUUACCUUCAGGUGGGGAACAACAGCCGGAAACGGCUGCUAAUACCGCAUAACGUAGCGGCACCUAAUGGUGACAGUUGUUAAAGCGGGGGGAUCGCAAGACCUCGCGCCUGAAGAGAAGCCUGCGGCAGAUUAGGUAGNGGUGAGGUAAUGGCUCACCAAGCCCGCGAUCUGUAGCCGGCCUGAGAGGGCGGUCGGCCACACUGACACUGAACAACGGGUCAGACUCCUACGGGAGGCAGCAGUCGGGAAUUUUGGGCAAUGGGCGCAAGCCUGACCCAGCAACGCCGCGUGAAGGAUGAAGUUUUUCGGAAUGUAAACUUACACAAGAAUGGGAAGAAUAAGUUUCAGCUAACACCUGAAGCGAUGACGGUACCAUUUGUAAGCUCCGGCUAACUCCGU
RNAcentral lists this ribosomal RNA (497 nucleotides) under uncultured bacterium. Its description in RNAcentral is "bacterial SSU rRNA". It matches the Rfam family "Bacterial small subunit ribosomal RNA", at positions 32 to 506 of the family's 1533-position model. The record is from RNAcentral.